GGGCCACAGCUCAGUGGUAGAGUCUCUGCCUUGCAUACAGAAGGUCCCAGGUUCAAUCCUUGUCAUCUCCA
Non-coding RNA from Podarcis lilfordi (Lilford's wall lizard), 71 nucleotides. NCBI's taxonomy places the organism in Eukaryota, Metazoa, Chordata, Lepidosauria, Squamata, Lacertidae. The record is from the annotation of a GenBank genome assembly.